ACGGGGUAGUAACGGGUAGGUGACGUACCCUCGGGUUGGGGAUAGCCACGGGAAACUGUGGGUAAUACCCAAUAAUCUCCUGGAGCUUGAAGGCUUCGGGAGCAAAGGUGUGAUUCCACCGGAGGAGCGGCCUGCUUCGUAUUAGCUAGUUGGUGAGGUAACGGCUCACCAAGGCAUCGAUGCGUAGGGGGUGUGAGAGCAUGACCCCCACCACUGGGACUGAGAUACUGCCCAGACACCUACGGGUGGCUGCAGUCGAGAAUCUUCGGCAAUGGGCGCAAGCCUGACCGAGCGACGCCGCGUGUGGGAUGAAGGCCCUUGGGUUGUAAACCACUGUCAGAGGGGAUGAAGUGCCAGAGAGUUAUCUCUUUGGUUUGACAUAGCCUCAGAGGAAGUACGGGCUAAGUUCGUGCCAGCAGCCGCGGUAAUACGAACUGUGCAAACGUUAUUCGGAAUCACUGGGCUUACAGGGUGCGUAGGCGGCUUGUUAAGUAGGGUGUGAAAGCCCCCGGCUCAACCGGGGAAUGGCGCCUUAAACUGGCGAGCUGGAGUGAGAUAGGGGUGUGCGGAACUUCCGGU
RNAcentral lists this ribosomal RNA (579 nucleotides) under uncultured bacterium. Its description in RNAcentral is "bacterial SSU rRNA". It matches the Rfam family "Bacterial small subunit ribosomal RNA", at positions 102 to 674 of the family's 1533-position model. The record is from RNAcentral.